AUUGAACGCUGGCGGCAGGCCUAACACCUGCAAGUCGAACGAGCGGCGGAUGGGUGAGUAAUGUCUGGGAAACUGCCUGAUGGAGGGGGAUAACUACUGGAAAAGGUAGCUAAUACCGCAUACAAUCAGAUGUGCCCAGAUGGGAUUAGCUAGUAGGGGGGGUAAUGGCUCACCUAGGUGACGAUCCCUAGCUGGUCUGCGAGGAUGACCAGCCACACUGAAACUGAGACACGGUCCAGACUCCUACGGGGGGCAGGAGUGGGGAAUAUGGCACAAUGGGCGCAAGCCUGGUGCAGCCAUGCCGCGUGUGUGAAGAAGGCCUUCGGGUUGUAAAGCACUUUCAGCGAGGAGGCUUUACUCGCAGAAGAAGCACCGGCUAACUCCGUGCCAGCAGCCGCGGUAAUAC
RNAcentral lists this ribosomal RNA (406 nucleotides) under uncultured bacterium. RNAcentral's name for it is "partial 16S ribosomal RNA". It matches the Rfam family "Bacterial small subunit ribosomal RNA", at positions 30 to 526 of the family's 1533-position model. The record is from RNAcentral.